CCGCAUGUCUUCCCCCCUCUCCUUCCCCGUUUCCUGUCAGUCUACUGUCAUAUAAGGGACACUAGAGCCCACAAAAGACCCCCUGGAGGGGUAAAAACAAAAAAAAUGUUCUGGAACAUUCUAAACAAAAGGCAGAGUACAAAACACUGUAUGACUGGUGACAUUUUUAUUCUAUUUGUGAAAACAAAAAACCUUUAAAGGUAAAAGAAAAUCUAAUUUACAUGUACUACAAAGCUUUUGAUAGGAGCCAUGUUGUUAUUUAAUGUGUGAAGACUAAUUCUGUCUUUUUUGUACUAGUUCAAAUAUAGGUUAUUCAUAAAUGUGGUAAAAUAGUCCUUUUAAAUCAAUGGUUUGGAUAAAUAAACAAAUACUUUAUUUUAAGGAUUUACUCUUCUGUGUUGAAAAUUAGAAUUUUCUUACUUUGACAAAGACCGUGGAUAAGAAGCAGUGUCACAAAAAACAAGCAAUCUUUCUGACAAGAAAUUGAAUUACGAAAUGCCCCAAAUUAAAAUGUCAGGAAUAACUUGACAAAACAUCUGAAUCCUUCCUUUGAGGCCAACCAGUCUAUCUUUUGCCCUGGAAACUCUUAGUGUCCCUGUCUUGAGGAAUUUUAUUUGGAAAGUUCAAUUGUUCAUUUUAAGUCCAUGUUUUUACGUUUUAUUUAUUCAAUAUGAUUGUUCAGUCACCGACCAAGCCCCAGUUGGUAAGGACCUCCGUCCAUGGCUGCUUUCCAGCCGCGCUCAAUCCAGCACGCAUUCUCCAUGUCUGACUUUGUGUCUGAUAUCCCACCGGUUUCUCCGGUUGCUUCUCUUAGGGAUGUCAGUCCCCCCACCUCUUCCCCAGCUCGCCACAGCGCUCGCCUAGCCUCGCGUUCGGAUCCCUUGUUCCCCACUUCUAUCCUCAUCAAGAGGGAGAUUAGGCAUCGCCCUCAUCGCCCUCAUCUCCAGUCUCCUUCAGUUGCCUCGCUUCCAGAUCUUUCCACUCAUGCUUCAAAUCCAACCCCAGAAGCUCCCAGCCUGUCUUCAGGUCAUCGCUCUCUAUAUCCUCUCCUUCCACCCAGACGCACCUCUUCACAUCCGCGCUUCUCACCUCCAUGGACUCUCUCCAGCACUCUAUAUCUUCGCUCUCAGCUCUCCUACACCACAGCGUUCCUGAUGCCAUGAACACGUCCAUAGUUCCCUUCACUUCCUCACUCAUCACCUCUCAGCCCACCCCUCAACUACCCCCUAUGGCUUUCACCCUCGCCAACGCCCAUCCUGCACCCCCUCUAGGUAAUUCCAUCUCUCCUUUUUCCCCCCUUUUCUCUAUUUUCCCAGCUCAUUAGCACGGCUUAUACGCCUCUAUGCUCAGAUAUCUCUGCCAGGCUCCGUACAACGAUACUUCAAAGGCAGUAUGUAAAUCUGGCUUCCAUGCUCUUACCCUCCCCCAAAGUUGACCAACUCGUCACUUCGACAGAUCAUUUUUCCACUAUUCUCAAAACGUCAGACCCCUGUCUCUCGAAGGAUCUUUCCAUUGGACAAUUCCUAGUUGCAUUCAGUGUUUUUAGAGACGUAAUAUGUUCUGUAUACCUCGAACGCAGAGUUGAACUAGAUGCUUAUUUGGCUCUAAUCGCCGACCUCCAUAUGCAAUACGGUCGGUUGCUGUUCUAUCAGUACCACAAAGCUUUUGCCACAGUCCUCUCCCGUUCCGGUCAGUGUCUUAAUUGGUCUAUCUUGGAUAUGAAAAUUCUCAUCAUGCUCACACAAGCAAUCGCAUGCUAAAUGUGUGGCUUUAUCAGCCAUCAGAGCUCCUUUUGCCCUUCUUUCCCUUUCAAACCUAAUCCCACCGUCGUCACUCCUCCGCAGCCUCUCCUAAAUCUUGACCCGCUCGAUCACCACAGAAGAAAGUUGCAGAUACUUAACAAUAUGGCCAUCUGUAAUAACUUCAAUGAAAGCAUUUGUUCAUUUCCCAAUUGUGCUUUCCUUCACUUAUGUAGUCUCUGCAGAUAUGCCCAUCCAAAGUCAGUCUGUCCCGCCACCCACUUCCCAACAAGAACCGUCGAGGUUUCAGGAAUUAGUUUCCCGUUACCUCUCUACUCCUAUCCUCGCCCCCGAAUUAGCCACUCUUUUACAAUGCCACCCAGAUGACCCAUUUGUUAAUUUUCUAAUUACCGGUCUCUCCCAGGGUUUUUUAAUAGGUGUUCCUCAUUUUCCCCGCCUCUUCCCUCGUCAUUCCCAAUCUCCAGUCAGCUCUCCAUGAACUGGCUAUUGUUUCCAGCUGUUACUGAAAGAAGUGUCUAAAGGUUAAGUGAUCGGCCCCUUUGAUUCCCCCCCUCCACCCCUCUACCGCGUCAAUCCUCUCGGCGUGGCAACCAGAAAAUUUUCGGGCAAAAAACGUCUAAUCUGCGUUCUCUCUGCGCCUCAUUCCAGUCCUCAUUCUAGUAUUAAUAGUCUCACCCCAAAGCCACCCUUUUCCCUUUUUUAUGCCACAAUAGAUCAUGCUAUUUCGCUUAUUAAAACUGCCAGGUGGGGCACGUGGCUGGCUAAAGCUGACAUUACUGAUGCUUUCAAGAUCAUGCCCGUGCAUCCUUCUCAGUGGCAUCUACAAGGCGCUAAAUGGGAUGCCAAAUAUUAUUUUUUUGUGCACCUGACACAAUUUUCACAAUUUUAUUUUUAUGUCAAUCCAGAUUAUAACAUUACAUCAGACAAAUUCAAAGUAUUUUCAUGCAGACAUGUGGCUUUAGACUGUUGAAACUUUACUCAACAGUGUUCAGCCUCCCUGUCUGGCCCUAUUAUUAGCUCUAAAUAAACUGGUGAAGCAUAUUGAAAACAAGCAUGGAAUGGCUUCAUGAUUUUUUAAUACCACUGAAAUUAAAUCAGAAAAAAAGAGGAAUUACCAGCAUACCC
Molecule: long non-coding RNA, 2885 nt
Organism: Xiphophorus couchianus (Monterrey platyfish)
Lineage: Eukaryota; Metazoa; Chordata; Actinopteri; Cyprinodontiformes; Poeciliidae
Exons: 2
Source: RefSeq, a predicted model, not a curated record